GAAAAUCUGAAUACAGAUCAGACAGAGAGAGCAAACAAUGUUGUCUCAGUCAAGAUUUGUGGUUCACACAAGGCAGAGUGUUUGUAGAAUAUUGUCAAGAAUUCAGGAGUAGGUUUUAGACACCUACUGCUACAAUUCAGAAUGUCUGAACUGUCUCCCAAUUCUCUAUUUUCCAGCAAUAGAACAUAGGAAUGCAGACCUGGAGGAAGCCACAAAAAUGACAAAGUCCCCCUGGAAUCACAGCAACUAGACAAUCAUGGAGAUAGAGUUUCUAUGAGCCAGAAGAAUCCAGCCAUCACUGCAAAUGUGUGUACUAACACUGAUAGCAUUGUCCUUUCCUGUCUACUUCUCUCCUGUCCUGGAGUUGAUUUGGACACAAGUGACAUCAGUUGCUCCCGGAAAGAUUGCUGCCAAGAUCCCUCCUGGGCACACUGCUUCCUUCUCCCCUAAUACUCAUCACAAAAUCAGGACCCUUGAACUCUGCUCUGCAUUCUCACUCCCACCUCUCAGACACCGACAGUACCAUGUAAGAUCAGGUCCCACUGCAAGGAGCGUGGAGCCUGCUCCAUUUCUGAUCAAGACAAGUGGUCCAGUGGAACCAGGCCACCUCCACACACACAGCUCUGCACACUUACAUCUGCAUUCACUGUGCAUCAGGAAAACCAGCCUGUGAAUGCUUCUCACCGGGCUUAGUUCCACCUUCCUGUUUUUUCUCUGAAUGCCUCGCUCCUAAAUUUGGUAGAGGUAUUCCACCUUCAGACAGGGCUGAGCUGAAAGCUUUGUUUUCUGCCAAGAAGCUUCAGAGGACAACACUUAUCAAAGCAGUUUGCAUGAGUGACACAGCUUCUGAAGGGAGAGAAACACUUCAGGCUGAAAAGUUAUUAGGCAUUAAAAACACAUACUGAAGAAAAGCAUGCUGCCUUGACAAUGGGAGAAUGGGUGGGGAUAGGUCUGGGCCCCCUGACAGAGACCUGUAGGUCUUCUGAUAUCCCACCUCCCCCUCUUGCUCUUUGUCUAUGUAGCUCUCAGGGCUGGUCUCCAGAGAAGUGAGGAUACUUCGUCUUGGUUAUUGCCCCAGAACAUACAGUAAUAUUAUAUAUGUGUGAAUGAGUGUGUAUACAUAUACAUGCGUGUGAUUGUGUACAUAUACACAUCUUAUGAAGCCAAAAGGGAACAUAUGCAGAAUGCCUCCGGGAGCAUGUGGGAAGGGCAGAGUUCCAAGCCGGUUAUUAAUCCACUUGCAG
This 1244-nucleotide long non-coding RNA is filed under the name Numida meleagris (helmeted guineafowl). Its description in RNAcentral is "lncRNA (ENSNMEG00000005765.1)". The record is from RNAcentral. Lineage: Eukaryota; Metazoa; Chordata; Aves; Galliformes; Numididae.